CUCCCCAGAUGCUGCAUUUUCUGCCUCGGCCGGCUCUUACCAGGCCAGUCUGGUCCUGCCCGCUGUUCGUCCUGGUAUGUCAGCUUGGCAUAGCGUAGAGGCUGUUGGCCCCAAGCCAGCUCUGGUUCGCCUGCGCCUCCCCAGCCCACACGAUAGAGACCGCGACCCACCACCCGGAGCCACGCAGGGAAUUGUUGACGCGUGGGACGCAGGAAGAGCACGUGUGCCCCGCUCCGAGGCGCCUGGCGGGGGCAGGAGUCAGGCCCUGACGGCAUGGUUCGAAUCUUGGGUUGCCGCAAAGCAGGCAAGUGAUUUGAACAAGUCACGCAAUCUCUUAGGGCCUCGGUUUCCCCACUCAUAGCAUAAAGAUGAUACAGUAAAAACCCCCCAUCAGGUGAUGGGUAGGUCAGUCUCAUAAAACGCAAGUGCACAAUUUCGAGAAGUUAAUGAAAUGACUUGGCUUCCCAGGGUUCUGGCGAUGUCAGGUAAGUCCUCCUCUCCAGCCUCAGCUGUGGUUUGGUGCCACCUGAGCACUGUUUACUCUGGUUUAAAUAUUGAUGGAGACAAGGAUGGGUCCCGUUCCGCCACUGGCUAAAGUUCCCAGGACAGGAGCAACAAUUCCAGGAAUCUUGUCACCUGGCACCCUUAGUGUCUUCUGGACCCAGGGAAGUUUGGCUGGAAGAACACAGAGGACACAGGGACUCACUCUCUGCCCACCUCCCACCUCCCCAGAGGGAGCUACAGCCCUUCCCACUCUGGUCGCUGCAUUACCGAACGACAAGGCAGGAAACGCAGAGUUUGGAGGGGCCAAUGCAAUCAUCGUGGCAGAAUGCUCCACACCCCUUGCACAUGAUCAUGGCUUUCAAGCGGCAGUAACAUUUCGAAGUAACUGGACAAAAAGGCCUGGAUAGCAAAAUGGCAUUUCAUGGUAUGGCUAAAGAGCUUGAAGAUACCACAUAAAGUAUGCUGGUGAAUUCUUCUGACUACCAGCACCACCAGCUUCCACCUGGAUUGUCACUCCACAUUUGGGGGCCCCCAUCCAAUUAGGAGAAAUAUCACAAUAAAUAACAAUUUACAUCCUGCAGAGUGGGGGUUAACGGUGAAGUCAUGUAUGAUAGGAGACAGCCUGCCUGAGAAUGAAGACAAAAGAAAGCCGAGAUCAAUCCCUGAUGAUAUCAUUUGAGCUCCUGGGUCCAGACUCCGUUUCCUUAGAAUCUACAGUUAUAUGAACUAAUAAACUCUGUUUCCAUCAA
This is a long non-coding RNA of Canis lupus familiaris (dog), 1253 nucleotides long. RefSeq lists it as uncharacterized. The record is from RefSeq and is a predicted model, not a curated record. The transcript has 5 exons. Lineage: Eukaryota; Metazoa; Chordata; Mammalia; Carnivora; Canidae.